UACGUAGGGGGCAAGCGUUGUCCGGAUUUAUUGGGCGUAAAGAGCGUGUAGGCGGCCAACUAAGUCAGACGUGAAAUCCCUCGGCUUAACCGGGGAACUGCGUCUGAUACUGGAUGGCUUGAGAUUGGGAGAGGGAUGCGGAAUUCCAGGUGUAGCGGUGAAAUGCGUAGAUAUCUGGAGGAACACCGGUGGCGAAGGCGGCAUCCUGGACCAACACUGACGCUGAGGAGCGAAAGCCAGGGGAGCAAACGGG
RNAcentral lists this ribosomal RNA (253 nucleotides) under uncultured bacterium. RNAcentral's name for it is "partial 16S ribosomal RNA". It matches the Rfam family "Bacterial small subunit ribosomal RNA", at positions 524 to 776 of the family's 1533-position model. The record is from RNAcentral.